RNAcentral lists this ribosomal RNA (465 nucleotides) under uncultured Klebsiella sp. RNAcentral describes it as "bacterial SSU rRNA". It matches the Rfam family "Bacterial small subunit ribosomal RNA", at positions 338 to 795 of the family's 1533-position model. The record is from RNAcentral. Lineage: Bacteria; Pseudomonadati; Pseudomonadota; Gammaproteobacteria; Enterobacterales; Enterobacteriaceae.
CCUACGGGAGGCUGCAGUGGGGAAUAUUGCACAAUGGGCGCAAGCCUGAUGCAGCCAUGCCGCGUGUGUGAAGAAGGCCUUCGGGUUGUAAAGCACUUUCAGCGGGGAGGAAGGCGGUGAGGUUAAUAACCUCAUCGAUUGACGUUACCCGCAGAAGAAGCACCGGCUAACUCCGUGCCAGCAGCCGCGGUAAUACGGAGGGUGCAAGCGUUAAUCGGAAUUACUGGGCGUAAAGCGCACGCAGGCGGUCUGUCAAGUCGGAUGUGAAAUCCCCGGGCUCAACCUGGGAACUGCAUUCGAAACUGGCAGGCUAGAGUCUUGUAGAGGGGGGUAGAAUUCCAGGUGUAGCGGUGAAAUGCGUAGAGAUCUGGAGGAAUACCGGUGGCGAAGGCGGCCCCCUGGACAAAGACUGACGCUCAGGUGCGAAAGCGUGCGGAGCAAACAGGAUUAGAUACCCGGGUAGUC